CGAACGUACGGAUUAUUGGGUUAAGGGUGCGUAGGCGGGCGCAUAAGUCAGUGGUGAAAUACUCCGGCUCAACCGGGGAGGUGCCAUUGAUACUGUGUGUCUUGAGUGUAUUUGAGGUAGGCGGAAUGUGUGGUGUAGCGGUGAAAUGCUUAGAUAUCACACAGAACACCGAUUGCGAAGGCAGCUUACUAAGAUAUAACUGACGCUGAAGCACGAAAGUGUGGGGAUCAAACAGGAUUAGAUACCCUGGUAGUCCACACCGUAAACGAUGAUUACUGGAUGUUUGCCCACUUUGGGGUGAGCGUCUCAAGCGAAAGCAUUAAGUAAUCCACCUGGGGAGUACGUCGGCAACGAUGAAACUCAAAGGAAUUGACGGGGGCCCGCACAAGCGGAGGAACAUGUGGUUUAAUUCGAUGAUACGCGAGGAACCUUACCCGGGCUAGAACGUAGGGAGACCGAUGGGGAAACUCAUUUUUCAGCAAUGACUGCCUACGAGGUGCUGCAUGGUUGUCGUCAGCUCGUGCCGUGAGGUGUCGGCUUAAGUGCCAUAACGAGCGCAACCCUUAUUGUUAGUUGCCAGCGGGUCAAGCCGGGGACUCUAGCAAAACUGCCAGCGUAAGCUGUGAGGAAGGUGGGGAUGACGUCAAAUCAGCACGGCCCUUACGUCCGGGGCGACACACGUGUUACAAUGGAUGGUACAGAAGGUCGCUACCACGCGAGUGGAUGCUAAUCUUAAAAGCCAUUCUCAGUUCGGAUUGGAGUCUGCAACUCGACUCCAUGAAGCUGGAUUCGCUAGUAAUCGCGCAUCAGCCAUGGCG
Molecule: ribosomal RNA, 818 nt
Filed under: uncultured Bacteroidota bacterium
Lineage: Bacteria; Pseudomonadati; Bacteroidota
Description: bacterial SSU rRNA
Rfam family: Bacterial small subunit ribosomal RNA
Source: RNAcentral